Molecule: ribosomal RNA, 233 nt
Filed under: uncultured bacterium
Lineage: Bacteria
Description: partial 16S ribosomal RNA
Rfam family: Bacterial small subunit ribosomal RNA
Source: RNAcentral
CGGAACGGGUGAGUAAUACAUCGGAACGUGCCCGAUCGUGGGGGAUAACGAAGCGAAAGCUUUGCUAAUACCGCAUACGAUCUACGGAUGAAAGCAGGGGACCGCAAGGCCUUGCGCGAACGGAGCGGCCGAUGGCAGAUUAGGUAGUUGGUGGGAUAAAAGCUUACCAAGCCGACGAUCUGUAGCUGGUCUGAGAGGACGACCAGCCACACUGGGACUGAGACACGGCCCAG